AGUGAACGCUGGCGGUAGGCCUAACACAUGCAAGUCGAACGGCAGCACAGUAAGAGCUUGCUCUUACGGGUGGCGAGUGGCGGACGGGUGAGGAAUACAUCGGAAUCUACUUUUCGUUGGGGAUAACGUAGGGAAACUUACGCUUAUACCGCAUACGACCUACGGGUGAAAGCCGGGGAUUUUCGGACCUUGCGCGAUUGAAUUAGCCGAUGUCGGAUUAGCUAGUUGGCGGGGUAAAGGCCCACCAAGGCGACGAUCCGUAGCUGGUCUGAGAGGAUGAUCAGCCACACUGGAACUGAGACACGGUCCAGACUCCUACGGGAGGCAGCAGUGGGGAAUAUUGGACAAUGGGCGCAAGCCUGAUCCAGCCAUACCGCGUGGGUGAAGAAGGCCUUCGGGUUGUAAAGCCCUUUUGUUGGGAAAGAAAAGCAGCAGGUUAAUACCCCGCUGUUCUGACGGUACCCAAAGAAUAAGCACCGGCUAACUUCGUG
RNAcentral lists this ribosomal RNA (491 nucleotides) under uncultured bacterium. RNAcentral's name for it is "partial 16S ribosomal RNA". It matches the Rfam family "Bacterial small subunit ribosomal RNA", at positions 29 to 507 of the family's 1533-position model. The record is from RNAcentral.